This 108-nucleotide microRNA precursor is filed under the name Zea mays. Its description in RNAcentral is "MIR5565 microRNA precursor family". It matches the Rfam family "MIR5565 microRNA precursor family". Lineage: Eukaryota; Viridiplantae; Streptophyta; Magnoliopsida; Poales; Poaceae. The record is from Rfam by way of RNAcentral.
ACUCUCGUAUUCACCUUAAUCCAUGUGUAUUGAGGUGGAUUAUAUUGGAACUUAAACUAAUUUACACCUCAAUCCACUUCAAUACAUGUGAUUGAGGUGAAUACGAGA